This 511-nucleotide ribosomal RNA is filed under the name uncultured Actinomycetes bacterium. Its description in RNAcentral is "bacterial SSU rRNA". It matches the Rfam family "Bacterial small subunit ribosomal RNA", at positions 338 to 856 of the family's 1533-position model. The record is from RNAcentral. Lineage: Bacteria; Bacillati; Actinomycetota; Actinomycetes.
CCUACGGGAGGCAGCAGUGGGGAAUAUUGCACAAUGGGCGCAAGCCUGAUGCAGCAACGCCGCGUGRGGGACGAAGGCCUUCGGGUUGUAAACCUCUUUUAGCAGGGAAGAAGCGAAAGUGACGGUACCUGCAGAAAAAGCACCGGCUAACUACGUGCCAGCAGCCGCGGUAAUACGUAGGGUGCAAGCGUUGUCCGGAAUUAUUGGGCGUAAAGAGCUCGUAGGCGGUGUGUCACGUCUGCUGUGAAAAUYCAAGGCUCAACCUBCRRCUUGCAGUGGGUACGGGCACACUAGAGUGCGGUAGGGGAGAUUGGAAUUCCUGGUGUAGCGGUGGAAUGCGCAGAUAUCAGGAGGAACACCAAUGGCGAAGGCAGWUCUCUGGGCCGUWACUGACGCUGAGGAGCGAAAGCGUGGGGAGCGAACAGGAUUAGAUAUCCCUGGUAGUCCACGCCGUAAACGGUGGGAAUCUAGAUGUGGGGUCCRUUACCACGUAUUCCGUGUCGCAGCUAAC